UCUGGUUGAUCCAGCCAGUAGUCAUAUGCUUGUCUCAAAGAUUAAGCCAUGCAUGUCUAAGUAUAAAUAGUAUACAGUGAAACUCGAAUGGCUCAUUAAAACAGUUAUAGUUUAUUUGAUAAUUGACAAUUACAUGGAUAACCGUGGUAAUUCUAGAGCUAAUACAUGCUUAAACGCCCGACUUUAUGGAAGGGUGGUAUUUAUUAGACUGAAGCCAAUAUUCCUUGUGUCUAUUGCGGUGAUUCAUAAUAACUGAUCGAAUCUCUUCUUGAGAUAAAUCAUUCAAGUUUCUGCCCUAUCAGCUUUCGAUGGUAGUGUAUUGGACUACCAUGGCAGUAACGGGUAACGAAGAAUUAGGGUUCGAUUUCGGAGAGGGAGCAUGAGAAACGGCUACCACAUCUAAGGAAGGCAGCAGGCGCGUAAAUUACCCAAUCCUGACUCAGGGAGGUAGUGACAAGAAAUAGCAAACCGGGAACCUCAUGGUUUCACGGUAUUGCAAUGAGAACAAUUUAAAACCCUUAGCGAGAAUCAAGUGGAGGACAAGUCUGGUGCCAGCACCCGCGGUAAUUCCAGCUCCACUAGCGUAUAUUAAAGUUGUUGCAGUUAAAAAGCUCGUAGUUGAACCUCUGUCUGGGGCUAGUUUUGGCUUUGGUCAGGCUAGUUCUAGGCAUCCGCCUACAAGACUUAGAGGGCAUUCAGUUGUUCACUAGGAGGAGUAGGCAUUUUACUUUGAAAAAAUUAGAGUGUUUAAGGCAGGCAAUCGCCCGCAUAUAUUAGCAUGGAAUAAUAGAAUAGGACACUUUUCCAUUUCGUUGGUUAUUGGAAUCGUGUAAUGAUUAAUAGGGACAGUUGUGGGCAUUUGUAUUUAAUUGUCAGAGGUGAAAUUCUUGGAUUUAUUAAAGACAAACUAACGCGAAAGCAUUUGCCAAGGAUGUUUUCAUUAAUCAAGAACGAAAGUUAGGGGAUCAAAGACGAUCAGAUACCGUCCUAGUCUUAACUAUAAACUAUUCCGACUCAAUGUUUGACUGGCUUAUAUAACCAGUUGAGCGUUGUAUGAGAAAUCAAAGUCUUUAGGUUCUGGGGGGAGUAUGGUUGCAAAGCUGAAACUUAAAGGAAUUGACGGAAGAGCACAACCAGGAGUGGAUUCUGCGGCUUAAUUUGACUCAACACGGGGAGACUUACCAGGUUAAAACAAUAGUGGGAUUGACAGUUUGAGAGCGCUUUCUUGAUUGGUUGGGUGGUGGUGCAUGGCCGUUCUUAGUUGGUGGAGUGAUUUGUCUGCUUAAUUGCGUUAACGAACGAGACC
RNAcentral lists this ribosomal RNA (1306 nucleotides) under metagenome. Its description in RNAcentral is "SSU rRNA". It matches the Rfam family "Eukaryotic small subunit ribosomal RNA", at positions 1 to 1342 of the family's 1831-position model. The record is from RNAcentral.